UGCAGUCGAGCGAACUUUUGGGACUUUGCUUCCUAAAAGAUUAGCGGCGGACGGGUGAGUAACACGUGGGCAACCUGCCUGUAAGACUGGGAUAACUCCGGGAAACCGGGGCUAAUACCGGAUAAUUCAUUCCCUCUCAUGAGGGAAUGCUGAAAGACGGUUUCGGCUGUCACUUACAGAUGGGCCCGCGGCGCAUUAGCUAGUUGGUGAGGUAACGGCUCACCAAGGCCACGAUGCGUAGCCGACCUGAGAGGGUGAUCGGCCACACUGGGACUGAGACACGGCCCAGACUCCUACGGGAGGCAGCAGUAGGGAAUCUUCCGCAAUGGACGAAAGUCUGACGGAGCAACGCCGCGUGAGCGAUGAAGGCCUUCGGGUCGUAAAGCUCUGUUGUUAGGGAAGAACAAGUAUCGGAGUAACUGCCGGUACCUUGACGGUACCUAACCAGAAAGCCACGGCUAACUACGUGCCAGCAGCCGCGGUAAUACGUAGGUGGCAAGCGUUGUCCGGAAUUAUUGGGCGUAAAGCGCGCGCAGGCGGUCCUUUAAGUCUGAUGUGAAAGCCCACGGCUCAACCGUGGAGGGUCAUUGGAAACUGGGGGACUUGAGGCAGAAGAGGAGAGUGGAAUUCCACGUGUAGCGGUGAAAUGCGUAGAGAUGUGGAGGAACACCAGUGGCGAAGGCGACUCUCUGGUCUGUAACUGACGCUGAGGCGCGAAAGCGUG
This 724-nucleotide ribosomal RNA is filed under the name Mesobacillus rigiliprofundi. RNAcentral describes it as "bacterial SSU rRNA". It matches the Rfam family "Bacterial small subunit ribosomal RNA", at positions 56 to 763 of the family's 1533-position model. Lineage: Bacteria; Bacillati; Bacillota; Bacilli; Caryophanales; Bacillaceae. The record is from RNAcentral.